GCAUAUCAAUAAGCGGAGGAAAAGAAACCAACAGGGAUUGCCUUAGUAACGGCGAGUGAAGCGGCAACAGCUCAAAUUUGAAAUCUGGCCCUCGGGUCCGAAUUGUAAUUUGUAGAGGAUGAUUUUGGUGCGGUAUCUUCCGAGUUCCUUGGAACAGGACGCCUUAGAGGGUGAGAGCCCCGUACGGUUGAAUGCCUAGCCUCUGUAAAUCUCCUUCGACGAGUCGAGUAGUUUGGGAAUGCUGCUCUAAAUGGGAGGUAAAUUUCUUCUAAAGCUAAAUAUUGGCCAGAGACCGAUAGCGCACAAGUAGAGUGAUCGAAAGAUGAAAAGCACUUUGAAAAGAGGGUUAAAUAGCACGUGAAAUUGUUGAAAGGGAAGGAUUUGUGACCAGACUUUUUCUGGGCGGAUCAUCCGGGGUUCUCUCCGGUGCACUUUGCCCAGUAAAGGCCAGCAUCGAUUUUCGGCGGCGGAUAAAAGCAGUGGGAAUGUGGCUCCCUACGGGGAGUGUUAUAGCCCAUUGUAUAAUACGCUGCUGGGGAUCGAGGUACGCGCUUCUGCAAGGAUGCUGGCGUAAUGGUUAUCAAUCACCCGUCUUGAAACACGGACCAAGGAGUCGAACAUUUAUGCGAGUGUUUGGGUGUUAAACCCUCACGCGUAAUGAAAGUGAACGGAGGUGAGAGCCCGUACGGGUGCAUCAUCGACCGAUCCUGAAGUUUUCGGAUGGAUUUGAGUAAGAGCAUAACUGUUCGGACCCGAAAGAUGGUGAACUAUGCGUGGAUAGGGUGAAGCCAGAGGAAACUCUGGUGGAGGCUCGCAGCGGUUCUGACGUGCAAAUCGAUCGUCAAAUCUGCGCAUGGGGGGCGAAAGACUAAUCGAACCAUCUAGUAGCUGGUUACCGCCGA
RNAcentral lists this ribosomal RNA (902 nucleotides) under Pestalotia eugeniae. RNAcentral's name for it is "LSU rRNA". It matches the Rfam family "Eukaryotic large subunit ribosomal RNA", at positions 38 to 964 of the family's 3401-position model. Lineage: Eukaryota; Fungi; Ascomycota; Sordariomycetes; Amphisphaeriales; Amphisphaeriaceae. The record is from RNAcentral.